This 397-nucleotide unclassified non-coding RNA is filed under the name uncultured Planctomycetia bacterium. Its description in RNAcentral is "contains 16S-23S intergenic spacer region". The record is from RNAcentral. Lineage: Bacteria; Pseudomonadati; Planctomycetota; Planctomycetia.
UCCGGUUUAACACCGGCAGUCUCUCCAGAGUGCUCAGCCGAACUGGUCGCAACUGAAGAUAAGGGUUUCGCUCGUUAUGGGACUUAACCCGACAUCUCACGACACGAGCUGACGACAGCCAUGCAGCACCUGUACCAGGCUCUACCCUUGCGGGCAUUCGUCCCCGUUUCCGGGUUCUACUACCUGGCGCUUUCGCACAUGUCAAGUCUAGGAUAAGGUUCUUCGCGUAGCCUCGAAUUAAGCCACAUGCUCCACCGCUUGUGUGAGCCCCCGUCAAUUUCUUUGAGUUUCAGCCUUGCGACCAUACUCCCCAGGCGGGGUACUUAGCACUUUAGCUUCGACAGUAAGCCCAUAUCUAGCCUACUAUCUAGUACCCAUCGUUUAGGGCUAGGACUAC